UAUCACUGUGCUUGCUGGUAAACUUGUGCGUGUUUGUUUGUGUUGUCAGGCUCCAGGAUGCGGUGAGCCUUGUCGAUCUGUUCCACAAGGUUUACCCCCAGAGUGAGUCGGCUCAGGAGGCUGCCAGCCAGCAGGCCACUGGCACUGACCUGCUAAAGAUCUUUGCCCAGAAAGAGUCCCAGAGGUCAGGCUACAUUGAAUUGGCCCUGCAGUCGUAUGAACAGAUGGAUGUUAAGACUUCUACCGCCUAGCUCUCCACCCCCACACAGAAACCUUUUAAUUCUUUGUCAGUGAGGAAUGUUACACACAACCAGAGGAGCACACUCGAAUUGUCCACUCACAGGUCUGAUCACACCUGCUUUGCUCCUUAAAUAAAAGUUGCUUCCUGACUGGGAGGCGCAAGGAAAAUUGGCAGAGUAUGUCUCCCUUACCCAAAAAGCUUUUCUGAUUGUUCAUGUACGAGUUUCAAUUGAAGCGCUGAGUGAAAAAUGUGUCAUGUUAACUGACUAAUAUACAGAAAAUAAAUUACAUUGUAAAAUGC
Long non-coding RNA from Thalassophryne amazonica, 541 nucleotides. RefSeq lists it as uncharacterized. The record is from RefSeq and is a predicted model, not a curated record. The transcript has 2 exons. NCBI's taxonomy places the organism in Eukaryota, Metazoa, Chordata, Actinopteri, Batrachoidiformes, Batrachoididae.